Trichechus manatus latirostris (Florida manatee) is the source of this 2877-nucleotide long non-coding RNA. RefSeq lists it as uncharacterized. The transcript is spliced from 3 exons. The record is from RefSeq and is a predicted model, not a curated record. Lineage: Eukaryota; Metazoa; Chordata; Mammalia; Sirenia; Trichechidae.
GGUUGCGUAGCCACGAGAACGAGGGGGUUGGAACCCAGAUUUGAAGAGAACCCCAAGUUGGGCCUUUUGUUUCUGUAGACGCUGGAGGCUAGCCAAAAGGAUACUGUGUCCGAUAAAGAAUGUGACAGUGCUUUGUAACCGGAAGGUGCUUUUCAAAAGUAUUCACUCACUGACAAAGAUCGGAUUUAUAAAGAUACUCAUAAUAAAAGGCAAUAAUAAUGAAAACAAAACAAAACAGUAUUUGACUUACAUCAGAAGCGACUUACCACCAAGUUAUCAGAAUGGAACCCUGAGUCUUAGAAACUGGUGUCCUUAUAAGAAGAGGAGAGGACACGCAGAGGAGAAGGCCAUAUGAAGACGGAGGCAGAGAAUAGAGUGAUGCAUCUACCAGCCAAGGAGCACCAAGGAUUACUGGCAGCCAUCAGAAACUAGGAGAAAGGCAUGGAGCAGAUCCUUCGCUAGCACCUUCAAAGGAAGCAUGUCCCUGCUGACACCUUAAUUUUGGACUUCUAGCCUCGAACUGUGAGAGAAUAAAUUUCUGUUGUAAGCCACCUAGUCUGUCGUCAUUUGUUGCAGCAGCUAAAGGAAACUAAUACUGCAGAAUCUCCUCACAGUUGCUUACAUUAUUCCUCAAGCCCUUGCUUCCUUCUUGUUUCUGUGGUUUCCCAGGGUUAAUUUGCAGGGAGGAAGCCAACAGCCCUUAUUAGUUCUCCAUUUUCUCAGGAACCGUACAUAAUUCACAGUCUUCACUUUGCCUUAAGGCUCACUGGCUCUUUUCUUUGUGUUUAUAAAGUACACAUUCAUUCACUUACUAGUUCAGUCAACAUCGAGUGCCUCCUUUUCUAGAAGUCACUUUAUAAUUUCAUGACUACCUCAUUGAGAUCUAACCGUUAGAGUUCUAGUGAAUGCACUCCUGCAUAUAAACUAAAAAUUUGAUAGUUUAGCUUCCUGCAUAUAAAAUGAAAAUAUAAAACUGGACAUGUCUACAUUUGCCUCAACAAUCCAUACAAUUACUGUGAAGGAAAAUGACUUUAAAGUUAUAAAAGUUAUACAAAUAUUAAGUACAUGUUAUUCUUUGUAGCAUAAGUAAGUUUUUAAAAUUAAAAGUUUUUUUUUUUUAUUAUCUGUACACACCGGUCACUUAGCUUUUUAUGAAGACAUGCUGGCAGUCCCACUGAUCAUUCCAGUCACUUAUUAACCUAGCCCUCAUGCAAGGCACAUUUAUUAGGUUCUGUAAAUGAUAUCAAGAAAUAAAAUGUUGGUUGCUUUAAGGUAAGAUUUUGGAUAUUGGCUAUAUAAAGAAAAUCACAGCUUGGGUCUGAAUUUAAAGAUGUGUGCUGAAGAACCGGAAGGCUGACAUUUGUAUGAUUUUAUUUGUAUAAGGACUCAAAGUUCCUAGAAGAGAAGUCUAAGGCAAGAGAAGUGUGGCACACAGCUUGGCCCAGUAAUACUGUAAUAUUAUAAGUGAGAAAUAAUUUUGAUAAUACAAUGCUACCACUAAGUAGCCCCCUAUAGAUUAAUGCUGAUUCUUACGGAGAAGGGAGCUACAACUGAAAAUUGAAAACUUUCAUUAAAAAGUAUAUAAGACAUCGGGAGCACAAAAUAGCCCUACUUUGGGAACCAUUACUGGAGUAUAACAAAAAGGAAUGGUCAGAUUCUCCCCAUUCCAGGGGAUAACAUAGCACAUCACUGUAAUAAGGGUGCAUCAGCCCUAUUGGCUAUAUUAGUAAAAUUAGUACUUUUGAUAGAGUGGAACCAGUACAAAAGAGUGUUACCCAGCCAAACAUUGGUGAGCAUCAAUAGACAAUGAUAAAAUAGCUACCACAGAGGCAUUGUCAAGGCACCUUCAAGGGGAUUUGAAGAUAUUGGAGUCCUUGAGAGUUAUGAUCACAGGAAGCCAGAGGCAGAAAGUGGUCGAUGCCAUGAGGUAGCCAAGAGGACCUUGUAUAUAAGCAUCUUCCGGAAGUAACAAUACAACAUUGAUGUCUUGCAAUAGCAGAUGGUUUUGGAACUAUAGAAAUAAGAUUUGUAUGUCAUUUGGCCUUAUGCUUUUAUUAUCAGGCAGGUAUAGCCUAAGAAAUAUAGAUAACAGGUUUUACACAUAAGAAGGAUAAUGUAAGGGAGUAAAGAACUGUGUAAUAAAAUAAUAAAAAGAAGGAAGUGAACAUUUGAGUAUGUCCCACUUUGAAGAUCCUAUACUAGGCAUUUUAUUCAUUCUUUCAACAACUAUUGGGUACUUAUGUUCCAGAGCUAGACAUCAGGGCUAUAACAAUGAAGUUCCUACCUCGAGAAAUUUACAGUGUAGCUCAGGGACAGCAUAUAGGUGACAUGUGUACUGUCUUUUAAUCCUAUGUUCAUGAAAAAUACCACGAAUUCAUCACCACAUUCUUUCCUGCUGAGCCUAGACAAGGCUUCUCAGCACAAGCUUGAAAGCAGCUACUACUGGUUGAAAUGUAUAUGCCUGGAGGAUGACUUAGUUAAUCCUCACAACAGUGCUAUUAUGUAGAUAUUAUACCCACUUCACAAGAUAAGGAAAUGGAAACUUAUGAAAUAUUUAAAAACUUGUCUAGAUCAUAUAGUUUAGUAAGUGGCAGAGCCAGAAUUAAGCCUAGCUCUAUGACUACAAAGCCCGUACAGUCUAUAUUUGCUCAUUGCUCUGGCAAGUUAGUGGGAAGAUGCAGAAGUGAAGAAGGCAUUGACCCUCCCCUGAGAGGCCUUAAUCUAGCCAAGCAGGAAGUCAGAUAAACAGAUCAUAACAAUAAGUAAACAGCUUUCAUAGAAUGCUACAUAAUGUAUUAAGGGGACACAGAACUUGUAUACAUACUCACCAUAGAAGGAUUUUAGUGAGACAAAUUCCGUUAGAUAUUUCCACUCAGU